RNAcentral lists this ribosomal RNA (504 nucleotides) under uncultured bacterium. Its description in RNAcentral is "bacterial SSU rRNA". It matches the Rfam family "Bacterial small subunit ribosomal RNA", at positions 28 to 505 of the family's 1533-position model. The record is from RNAcentral.
GACGAACGCUGGCGGCGUGCUUAACACAUGCAAGUCGAACGGAGAUUAUUAAUGAAGCUUGCGAUUUAAUAAUCUUAGUGGCGGACGGGUGAGUAACGCGUGGGCAACCUACCCAUAAGCGGGGGAUAACAGUUGGAAACGACUGCUAAUACCGCAUAAGCUAUUGAGGUCGCAUGACCUAAAUAGUAAAGGUGGCGAAAGCUAUCACUUAUGGAUGGGCCCGCGUCUGAUUAGCUAGUUGGUGGGAUAGCAGCCUACCAAGGCAACGAUCAGUAGCCGGCCUGAGAGGGUGGACGGCCACACUGGGACUGAGACACGGCCCAGACUCCUACGGGAGGCAGCAGUGGGGAAUAUUGCGCAAUGGGGGAAACCCUGACGCAGCGACGCCGCGUGAGCGAAGAAGGCCUUAGGGGUCGUAAAGCUCUGUUGUAAGGGACGAAUGUUUAUCUGGCGAACAGUCAGAUAAAGUGACGGUACCUUACCAGCAAGCCCCGGCUAACUACG